RNAcentral lists this transfer RNA (71 nucleotides) under Stegodyphus mimosarum. It matches the Rfam family "tRNA". Rfam says of the family: Transfer RNA (tRNA) molecules are approximately 80 nucleotides in length. Their secondary structure includes four short double-helical elements and three loops (D, anti-codon, and T loops). The record is from Rfam by way of RNAcentral. Lineage: Eukaryota; Metazoa; Arthropoda; Arachnida; Araneae; Eresidae.
GCCUUCGUGGUGUAACGGUAGCACACUAGGCUCUUAUUCCAGAGGUCUAAGGGUGAGUCCCGGCGAGGGCA